Molecule: long non-coding RNA, 160 nt
Organism: Bufo bufo (common toad)
Lineage: Eukaryota; Metazoa; Chordata; Amphibia; Anura; Bufonidae
Exons: 3
Source: RefSeq, a predicted model, not a curated record
GAGAUUCACAGCGUGCAGUGCGCUGGUUAACUACAUGAAAAGCCUUAAUGCGCAUUCAUAUGCAUUAGCCUUUUUUCAAACCGUAAAAUUGCCUGAACAGGCGUCUAUGACGCUUGUACAGGCGUUAGUGCGACCCCUGCUUUGCAUUGUUGGUUUUCCA